Molecule: long non-coding RNA, 21935 nt
Organism: Ictalurus punctatus (channel catfish)
Lineage: Eukaryota; Metazoa; Chordata; Actinopteri; Siluriformes; Ictaluridae
Source: Ensembl
AGUUAAAAAAAAUAGACUAUGUUUAUAUCUACACCUGUCAUCUUUAGACUUCAAUAAUGAAUGAAACAUUAGCAUAAUGCUUCAGAUAAUCAAACUUCUUAAAUAUGUAAAACUUUCUGUUUCAGACCACUAUAAUAUAUCCAGUGACCUUUUUUUUUCUUUCUUUCUUUUUUCAAAUACACUGUGGGAUUAAUGCUUCAUAAUUUCAUGGAUAUGUUUAAAAUCAUAUUCAUGUUACAUUUUGACUUCAUGGUGCAAAAAGUCCAAAAACAACAAUUUGCCCUUAGCCAUUUCUUUCUCUCCAGAAUGAAAACCCGUCAUGAAUAAUGUCCUCAAGAUGGUCAACAAUAUUUUCUAUUCAUUUGAAUGUCUACAUCACCCAGGAAAAUAAACAAGAAAAUGUUUAUCCUGCUGGUCAGUCUAUCAUUUGUGAAUAUGAGACAAUUGUAAAAAUGGCAAGAUAUAAUGCCAAUAUUUUUGAUUUUCAUUAUGUUUUAAAAAUAAACAUUUUAUCUGCUUUAUUGUUGCUAUAUUAAGUCAUCAGUGCAUUUUCAGCAGAGAUGGAAAUUUACCUUCUCUUUAAACAACUGCAUUUCUGUAAGUGCAACCAUGAAACUUUAUUUAUUGCAUUUUAUUGAUAUAUAUUUAAGUCAAAAUUUUAGACUGAAUAAACAGGAACAAAUUGAUUUCAUAAGCUUAAUGUUCAGACACUAUUAUAUAACCCCACUCUAAUAUUACACACUUCUUCUUGUUAUUUUCUCUCAUAACGUGCUUAAAUGAAAGAAUUGUACCUCUAGAUGUCAGGUUAUGUGACAUAUUAUCCAGUUUAAACCAUGUCUGGGAUCUCACAAAUAUGCAUUUAAGGAAUAUGUCAUGAUAAAAUAAUUGUCUAACAUAAUAAUUGUGUGAUUAUAAUUAUUAAGAGAAGAAGAAAUGCUCUUAUGGGGGGGGGGGGGGGGGCAAACUUUGUGAUGUUAUCAUUAGUCAUUUUUGGUGAGCUUGUGAUUCUUAUUUGGGGUUCAUCAGCAGAAAAAGGUUUCUACAGAUGCAUCAAUGGGGAAAAAAAAAGCUUCAAAAUAGGUUCAAAUUAUCAUGAUGAUACUUCUUUCUGUUGCCUGACAUUACCACUGUGAGCUAGCCUUGCUAAUAGUAUGGUGCUAAUAUGUGAGACAUUCUCACCUGCCCCUCCCUUCCUUCUAGCAGACAGUAAAACCAUGUGGCAGAAUUACUAAAGAAUAGUGAAAGAUGUGUCCAGACUGAUCUGUUCAGCGCUCCAUAUCUGUGCAAAGGAUAACCUAGGGGAGGGGUGUGUGUGUGCGUGUGUGAUUGUGGGCUGAGUGUUUCAGCCCUAAUCUCCCGGGCCAUGAUGAAGAAAAGGCCAGUGCUGUGUGGCUUUAUGCUGCUGAGAGUAAGAGAAUCUCCCAUGCUUGGUAAGCACGUGUAUCAGGCCAUCUCACGGCCCACUGGACGCUCCGUGGGUGGCCCAAACUCCCCUCCACUCUCCACUGACCCAGGCCCGCGGAGGAUAAUCUCUCCUGCUCCAUGUUUUCAGGCCAGAGCCACGCUCCUGGGUCAGGAUGUGUUAGCGAGACACAGGUUGAGAGUGGAUGUGGGGGGGUUUGGACACAAGGGGCAGGUUUGAGUGUGAGCAUUGGAGUGUGUGCUGCAGGGCACCGAGGCAGCUUCUGUAGAGGAAACACCGUAGAAAGCACGAUUGCCACUGAAACAGGUCAGAAGGGGGUGUGUGUGUGUGUGUGUGUGUGUGUGUGUGUGUGUGUGUGUGUGUGUGUGUGUAUGUGUGUGUGUAUCUUCAUGUCCAGCUACUUUGUACAAAUGUGUCAGCUUGAGAACUCUUUAUUUAAAAAACAUUACACUUGGUGCACAUCAGUCCUUUAGUGCAUUAUGAUUUUCUUUUAUACGAUUCAUCUAUACACAAAACGUCAUCAAACCUACAUAGGUUUAUGCAUAAAUAUAUAUUUUCUAAUUCGUAAAAAUUUCAAACAGGACAAAACAUUUCACAUAAAAUAAAACAUUUUAAAAUCUCCUUUAAAAAUGCACUGAAAUCUUAAUAAUGUCUUUUGAAUGCAUUUGUAUAUUAAUGAGCCUGUAAUGUUAUGCAGAAACAGACACAAACAUCAAAAUCAUUAAUUAAGCAAAAUACACUACAAGUCAAAAGUUUCAAGACACUUGACUUAAAUGUUUCUCAUGAGCUUACAAACCUUUUGAUCGGAAGGUAUGAUUAAAUGUUUGAAAUCGGUGUUGUAGACAACAUUAUAAUUGUGCCAACAUAUUAAUUUCUUUCAUUAGAAAACUAACAUUUUAUUUACAAAUUAUAUUUUGUUUAAAUGGAUGACUUGGAGCGAAAUAUUCCGGAAAGCAGCCAAUAAGUGUCCAGCGUAGGUGUGAACUCCUUUAAUACUGGUUAAAACGCAUCUCUGGGAAAUUCCUCAAGAAAUCGGUUGAGAAAAUGCCAAGAAUACAUUUCUGGAGAUUCUAGGCAAAAAGGGCAUCUUUAAAGAUGCUCAAAUAUUAAAUUAUUUGUAUUUAUUCUAUUUUUAUCACAACAUAAUUCCCAUAGUUCCUAUUUGUGUUACUCCAGAGUUUUGAUGACUUUAUUAUUAUUUUAAAAUGUGGAAAAAUUCAAAUUAAAAUAAAGAAUGAGUGUGUCUAAACUUUUCAUCGGUAGUGUAUAUUAAUUUGUUUACCCAUGGAAAUAAACAUUUAUUUAUGUAUCCCCGUCAAUAAUAAUGAGAAACAGUUUUAUAUUGUAUUGGACAAACGUAAGUUAAAAAACACACACAACACAGAAAAAAUUCAGGUUUCACUUUUAUUGUUCAUUCAUUCUGCAUAAUUCAUUUAUUAUUACAGUAUUCAUACAAUAGUAUACAGCUUCAAGAAAUAUCAGAGAUUAUGCUAUAAUUAACGUAUGGCUAUAAGGAUAUCAUGCUUUGUACGAGCAGGUUGUGCUUUUUCGUCUUGUAUGUUUGUUCUUAAAAAUGCAAAUAUGCCUGCAAAUGAUAUCGUCAUCUGUAGCUGUAUAGUACUCUAUUAAGUGUAUAAAUGUUUCAGAUUUCCAUAGUGUGCUAUACAUCAUACAGGUUAGAUACAAUCAAAACCAUACCAAUGGGAAAAAUGUACUUGUUGCAACUGAAAAAAAUGUUACAAUAUAGUAAAAAAAAAAAAAAAAGAGCGAAAAACAUUUUUUAGAUGAGAAACCUGCAACCCAAAGUUUAUUUUUAUACUCUAGGUGCCAAUAAACAAACAAACAAACAAACAGAAAAGUUUAUAUGAAUGCAGUAUCACAGCAUUUUUUUUAUUUAUGCUGUUAAAUUAUGAUCAGAAACUUACCUUAUUGAAAUACUCACCAGUAUUAAAGGGGCAAAAGCUAAAUUCUUUAAGCAGUCAUUGACAGUAAAAUAUCAUUGACGUCAUGGUUUUCAUCCUGCACUGGGUCAGGGCUACAGAUCUGAAACACACCAUCCAGGGAGCGGCUCUGAACAACACUCAUAACUCCUGAAAAGACAAAAUUAAAACAUACAAUAUGUGUCGUUGUAAAACACUGUCUAUAUACAUCAGCAAAUACAUGCAUAUUUAUGUAUAUAUAAGAUCUAUAUUAGUAUUGAUGAAUUCUCAAAUCUGAUUUGUCACAAGCUGUUGAUAAAAUUUUUUAUAACAGUACCUCUGACAGUACUUCCAGCUAUAAUGUUUAUAUUAAUAUGCUUGUUCUAACAUGUUAUUGUUUCUAUCGUAAUAACAUGUUACUAUACACCUAAUGUCUAGUUCUUCAAUAAAUAUUUUUUAGUAUUAGCAAAUUUUGAUAUGGUAUAAGAUGAAUAAAACAUGUCAUGCUGUUAAUCAUGUUUGGGGAGUCCACUGUUGAUUAACAUCCUAUAAUAGCACACUCUGAAGUGUUUUAUUCUUUACAUAUAUUACUAUAUCGACAUACAACUAAUAAUAAUACUGUAUAUGUUGCAAUACACUGCAUGUGCGCGUAUAAAACAAUGAAUAUCAAUAUCCAUUGUGUAACUCGAAUAGGUUAAGGUUAGGUGACGGCGUGUUUUUUCAUUAUCCAAAGCAUUCUUUCCUCAUUCCUCUUUCCUAAUUUCUCUCCAUGCAUCUCUAGUACAGCUUUGAAUUGUGUUUGAGGACAUUAGAAGUAAAACAUUGCUAACAAAAUGAUUUAAAAAAAUUAGCAAGAUGCUUCCACUGAGGUAAUGAGCAAUGGGAAUAUAUAGAGAUUAUAUUAUAUUCACUGUUAUGUAUAUAUUGUAUAAUGUAUUGAAUUCUUAUUAAUAUGCUCGUGUGUGUGUGUGUGUGCGUGUGUGUGCGUGUGUGUGUGUGUGUGUGUGUGUGUGUGUGUGUGGAUGAGGUGUGGCUACAAUGCAGAGAAAGGUGGGGGCAGGGAGCCGACUGAUUAACAUGGAUACUUGGGAGCCUCAAAUGAUGCUAUAUGUGCGUGUCUAUAGCCACCGCCACGCCAAAAUGCAAGCGGAUGCGGAUGUGUGCGUGUUUACAAGCAAAUAGGUCGAGGGGCGGGGAAGCAGAGUUUAUCAGCUGUGUGGGUUGACCCUGAGCCUAGAGCCAGACAGGGGUCAGGGGUAAGACUGUCUGGGCACUGGGUUUGACCCCAGGCUCUACCGUAUGGAAGGGAUGAGUAGGGGGAUGGAGGGACUUCUGGUUCCAGUCUAGGGCCCUUAAUGUUUCCUCUGGGGACUGGAAAGCAGACAGGGAAUGACCGUGGCUGCUUAUUCAUCAGCACAUCAGCACUUAGCACCGCAGGCUCGUGUCUGCUUCGUCACAGUGCAUAGUCAUGCAUGUGCGCAGCAAUAUGAUUAAAAUCAAAUACAACUUCUGUGAUAUGGAGUGAGCACCGUGUGUGUGUGUGUGUGUGUGUGUGUGUGUGUGUGUGUGAGUGAGUAUGCACUCAGUAGAUCCAUUAUUUCAAGAAGAUCAAAUAUAGUGGCAGUACAAAUCAUAGAACCAAUCAAAAAGGGGUUUGCUCUAAAAUACAGUCAACUGCAGCCAUGGAGUCACAAGGAGAAGGUCAGCACAAUACAGUAACAAAAUUCACAGCUUUAAACAACAAGAAAACAAGAAAUAUUUUAACAUGUCCUUAUUUUAGUUACAAAAGCAUGAGAAGCAUCACACAGCCUGCAAUAUUCAUAAACACAAGCAUCCUAGACCAGAACAGAAUGGUAUCUGAUGACGAAGUGUGGACGAAGCAUUAUAAAAUGCGUGAACCAUUCAAAAAUAAAAAGUGAGCUAGGCUAUAUUUAGGAAAUAUGGAUGUCAUCUUAGAUUGGUGCUGAAAUUAAAAACUUAGUAGAUUCAGACUCAAACUGAGACGCUGCAUCAGGAGAUCAGUUUAAUGUAUGCAGUCUUUGGUUGAGGAAAAGAGGGUGGGGGUUUGCACCCUGUCUGAGACCCUCUCAAUAAGCAGAAGGGGGCUUCUAAAGGGUGCGUCUACCCACCAAGAAGGGGUGAUGGGCAUUUUUUCAAAGAGGAGGGGAGGUUGCAAGGCCUCAGUUGAGCCUGUCGCGCCUGAUGUCCCAUUAGGAACCGGGAGCAUGGCUGGGGGAAACUGGUUAAACCCCCCCUGCCUCCCAGACUGUUAUUUAAAACAGGCGGUUGGCGGCAUACUAAUUCUCCUCCACACACUUAUGAAUCAAACCCAUAAAAUAAAGGAGGCACAGGAGACAUAUAUUACCAGAGCAAUUAAAUAAGUACUGCUUAUUGGGAAUGGGGUUUUACUGUUUCAGAGGUUGGAUACCAGCAUGGGUUUCAGCUUGGCGCCCUUGAAUAUAAUGAUCAACAUAACAAGGAGCUGAAUUUGUAUUCUUACACUUCAAAAAGACGUAAUAGCAAAAUUUCAUAUUUCAACCUGAUCAAGCACUAUAAUGUUGUUACGUUACUGUCUAAUUUAGUUUCUUUUGGGAAAAUACAUUUCUGAAUUUUUUUGGGAAAUGUUUGAAAAAACAGAUCCUUGGUGACAUGGUCCAGCACUUGUGCUAUGUAUGUGGAAGACUGCUAUUUUUUGAGAAAUGUGUCAAUGUGGCUACAACGGAGUGAGUGUUUGUGUCAGCUGGUUGUGGACGCACAGGUUUUGAAGCAGGACAGUCUGUUCAUUUUCUGAGACGUUUUGUCCUGUUGGUCUGCCUGCCUGAAGUUCGGUAUCAAUCCAGGAAAGACAGCAGAAGGCACAUUAAAAAUAAAUGGUAUCUGAUCACAGCCCUCCUGAAUGAAGAGAUCUGACCAUGUGACCAAGUGACCAGAACUGAGACUGGGAGCUAAAAUAAACUCUUGGACUAGAAACGGCAAGACUAUUUUAGCAUGAAACUGAAUAUAGUGCUAUCUAGUCAUCUGCAUUGCUUGUCCAUGGUCAGUUAAGAAAAUCCACUUACCAGAACACCUGUACACCUGCUCAUUCAUGCAAUUAUCUGAUGAGCCAAUUGUCAGGCAGCAGCACAAUGCAUAAAAUCAUGCAGAUACAGGACAACAUCAAACAUUAAGAAUGGAGGGAAAAUGUGAUCUCAGUUACUUUGACCAUGGUAUGGUUGUUGGUCCCAUAUGGGCUGGUUUGAGUAUUUCAGAAACUGGUGAUCUCCUGGGAAUUUCAUGUGCAAUCAUCUCUAGAGUUUACCAAGAAUUGUGCAAAUAUAUAUCCAGUUAGUGGCAGUUCUGUGGGCCAAAAUGCUUUGUUGAUCAGACAAGUAAAUACAUGGUUUGAGCUAACAGGAGGACUAUGGUAACUCAAAUAACCACUCUUUACAACCAUGAUGAGCAGAAAAGCAUCUCAGAAUGCACAACACCUAAAAGUGGGCUACAACAGCAGGAAUCUACAUUGGGUCCACUCCUGUCAGCCAAGAACAGGAAUCUGCUGCUACAAUGGCCACAGACUCUCCGAAACUGGACAACUAAAGACUGGAAAAAGACCAGCUGAUGUCAACAUUUUCUGAUGUUUGACAAGAACAUUAACUGAAGCUCCUGACCUGUAUCUGCAUGAAUUUAUGCAUCACACUGCUGCCAUAUAAUUGGCAAUUGGAUAAUUGCAUGAAUGAGCAGAUGUACAGGUGUUCCUAUUAAACUGGCUGCUGAUUGUAUAACAGUACAUUAUUCUAUAAAACUGAAUGAAGAAGAAUUUUAGCACUGCUGUAACAACAGUGCAUACCACUUGAUAAAUUAAUAAAGUAAAGAAAAUGAAGAUUAUAGUACCUUGUAUAGAUGAAAUUGUUGUUAGAUAAUACUUUAUUCUAUUUAAUGCUAUUUAAAAAGUUACUGUUUCUACACAUAUUGCCUCAACUCAUAGCUUCCGGUGGGCUCAUUGAUUAAUAAUUAUAAUAUUGAUAUUGUGAUAAAUUACAUCACAGUACAGUUUUCUCGAAAUAUUACAGGCUUCUUCAGGGGUUAUUACUCUGGCAAUAAUUGAAAAUACCACUGAAAGCGUAUUUUCUAAAUGCAGCAUUACUUUGCAUGUUAUGUAUCAUGAAAAGUUUCUUCAAGUAUUGCAAUAUGGCAUCUCUGUAAUAUCACCCACCCAUGAUAAUCAUAGAGAGUCCUAUCAAACCUUUAUGUCCACUCACUUUUGAAGUAGCCCCUGUGGCAAGAGGUGUUACAGCAAAGCCUUUAAUAAAUGUUUCAUGGAUAUUAAAGCGUGUAUCCUUUCAUACUCAAUAGACCUGAUAAGAGAUUCAGCCUCUUUUUAAGGUGGUUUUCCAUACAACUUUUCAGCCAUUACAAGUUUAAUUAAGAGUAAUUAAGUGCUGUACAAGCUUUAAUUAUAUUAGGCAUAAUGUUAUUAUAAACCUGUAGUGGACACGGCCUGUCUAGCGUGAGGCUCCCGGUGCGAACUGAAUGAUAAUGCGACACAUAACCAAGUGGCAUCCGUAGCAAUAGAGACACAGUCCUUGAGCAAAUAGGUCUAUGGGACUUGUGCACACAGGGGUGUAUGUGUGUAUGUGUGUGUACGCUGGGAGGGUAAACACCGAUGAUCUAUUUUCGUUUUUUUUAUUCCAUAGUCACAAAGCUAUAUUCUCAGCUCAUAAGACGGUAGUGGCAGACCGACGACAGUGGAAACCUCACAGCUCUCUGCCUCCCCUUACACACACACACACACACACACACACACACACACACACACACACACGCACACACACACACACACACACACACACACACACACACACACACACACACACACACUGCAGGCUAUGUUGACACACACAAACACAAGGACCCAUGGUUCCAACCCCAUUGUAGCCUACAUCGUGCCUGACAAAAACGGCAAAAGCUAAGCAAAGGCCAUAAACACAGCUGGAUUGUGUCCAGUGUAGCUCAUACAGUAUAUACAUCCAACUCUGGAUCAUUUGAGGUUUAACGAUCCAGACGCUUCCCAGAUAUAUUUACAUUUAUAUAUAUAACAAUGUAUAAAUGCAGCUUUCACACUUCUUAUUCCUAGCAGUGAAAAUCCAACGGAGCUGGUGAUCGUGCUGUGACCACUUGCACUUGCAUGCAAAUUGUGCUACGUUGGCAGACAGAUUGCACUGUCGAGAAUACUUCAUACAUGAGAAUAUGAGAAAAAUGAGGUUAAUAUGUAAUUAGAGGAAAGGGAAGUGAUGAAUCAGUAGCUCUGCUGUAUAUUUAGCAUGCAACAAAUGUAGAUUAGUAAUUAUGUAAGUAUAAUAAUAGAGAAAAAAAACUGAAGGAAUUGAAAACACAUCGACAAAUAAUAAUAAUAAUAAUAAUAAUAAUAAUAAUAAUAAUAGAUGUAGUAGUAGUAGUAAUAAUAAUAAUAAUAAUAAUAAUAUUAGUAGUUGUAGUAGUAGUAGUAGUAGUAGUAAUAAUAAUAAUAAUAAUAAUAAUAAUAAUAAUAUGUUGUUGUUGUUGUUGUUGAGGUUGCUGUUGUUGUACUAUAAAAUAAGCUCUGCCAAUAUCACCUUCCAAAUAAUAAAGUAAUUAAUUCAAAGUAAUAAAUAGCAUAAACCGGAAAGGGAGAAAAGAGACUGAAGGGAUUGAGUGGGUUUGGCAAGGAGGAGGCGAAACCCCAGAGGCGGGCGAGUGUCAGCCCCAGCUGGGCGGACAUUUUGUUGGCAUGCUGAUAGGGACUUAAGCGGUGGGUGGGUGGGUGGGUGUGUGCCAGGCGAGAGAAUGAGCUGAGGCAGAAGGGAAAGAGAGAGAGAGGGGCGCUCACAAAAGUGCCGUCACUAAGCUUGAUUUCAGCAGGAGGAGCUGAGACGAUUAGGGGGGACCGGGAAGAAACGAUGGGGUGAAAGACGGGGGAACGCUCCAUUGAGACGCUGCCAUGGCUGCGAGAGGGGGAUCUCUCUUUCAGACGAGCUAAUGAAGCAUAUGCUGAGGUGAAUAAUGGAAUCUUCCAAAGGGUGGGCCGCUGUCUUCGUCCGCUAUUCACCAACUUGGUGCCUUUGGAGAGACGUGUCGUGACAGAAAGAGGGCCCUCCUCUUAAAGGGAUAUCAUUGUUUACACAGCAGGGGAGGACGGCACGAAUAAAAGCGAUGCAGAGACAAAUCGAACGUAAAACAAACCAUAAAACCGCACGUCAACCGGCUCUUACAGAACUCAGAUUUCUCUCUCUCUCUGUAGUCCGUUGGAAGACUGCAGCUGAAAUUACAUAACCUUGUAGAGAAAAUACUGAGAAUAGCAUGCACUGAUACCACAGUCGACGAGGAUUAGCCAAGAAUUGUCCCAGAACAACAGGGACGGGUUCGGUGUGCGUCAUCGAUAAUCACUUACGAUUACACAAAUAAGAGCAAACACAUCAGGGGGUGCAACCAGACAUGUCAUAGGACGGAGCAGACAGGAGCCCCCUUUGACCUUGACCCCUAGGGUCCUUCUUCACCUGCUGUUCAAUGGGGCUUCAUGAGCAGCUGGGCUGUCUAGUCAGUGCCUGACAGAAUAUUUUACACUUUCGUCUAUUCCCACGCUUGAUGAGUAGGUCGUCGCUGCAGGCGGGACUGGUGUUUAUGCAGCUGACAGAGAGGCAGCAGCCAUUUUUAGAACACUGGGAUGCAAAUAUUCGCUCCUCAUCAAGUAGACAACUUCUCCCCCAGACUGCUUCUCUUGGCCUGGAUGUGAACAAAACCAGCCUCUGGCAAACAACUAGCUCUUUCUGUGCAUGUGUGUGUGUGUGUGUGUGUGUGUGUGUGUGUUUGUCUUUUUUUUGGCUGUGUAUCUGCACCCCUCUCCUCUCUGUAAAUGGACAGACCUGGGUUAGGCUAAGGCACUGUGUUGUAAAGAGAAUUGUGCCGAGAGGAGGGUUCGGAGUGUUUUCAUUAUGGCUAAAUCUCAGACCUGACUCUUCAGCGUGGCCUGUGCCACCAAGCCGACAGUUUAAUCAUACAAACAGCACUCUGUUCCCAUUUCCGCCUCUCUCCUUCACACACUCCACUCCCCGCUUCAUAAUUCUGCACUCUACAUGCUCCCGCGCAAUGCCUGUGUUUUGGGGGCUUUAAAAUGACACAAUCAGUGACUUGGAUAAAUGUAUGACUGUUUUCCCUCAGACUGUAACCAGCCCCAGUGAACACAGGUCCUGAUUUUUAAAGAGGCAGCACUGUGGGGUUUUUUUUUUUAAAUCCUCUUUCUCCUUGCAUACCACUGAAGCUCUUUUAUAAUGGAAAAACGUCCAGACAAUGGAUAGUUCAUCUUAGGCAGAACUGCAUUAAAUAUCUCCUAUUAAGUCCAUACUGUGGUUACAAACCACACAGGAAAUUACUUCAGGUCACAUAUUAGAAAUACACACAAGUCUAUUAAUAGAAAACUGAACAGAUGGAGUGGCAGGCUCUACAUGUUUCCAGACCCCAUGGUUCAUACACAUCAUAGUUAUUAUAGCUUUAGCAUUUUAGAAGUGUACUGUCACAAGUGAGUGAACAAACAACAACUGACUUUUUUCAUAAGAAACACCAUUUGGCACACCUGUCAAAUAAUCCGUUCAAAAAUGUAUGAUUCGUAUCAAUUCCACACACAGCACUGACACGCUUUACUCAUUCAGGUCUGUUUUAGACAUCUAGCACACAGCAGAUCAAAUCACUUGUCAUACCAGGUGCAUAAAAAAAGGAAAAAGCAAAUGCAGCAAGGGUCGAAUUGAGCAAUGGCAAUAAAUGCAUUCAGCAACUAUUACUUCUGUGGGUGAACUACAUUCAAUCAAUAUCCAAGCAAAUAAAAGCACUGAGCACUCAGAGCUAAGGAACCCCUUGCACUGAAACACUGCAAAACAUUAAAUAUACGUGCCUCACAUUAUACUGAAGGGACGCUGAACUCAUGGGGUAUUUCUGCAGUGCAGCAUGGCAUAAAAAACUGGAUUAAGAAUUCUCAAAACAGCAGAUUCAUGUUUUGGAAAUGAUCUAAUAUAGUAAAUCUACAUUAAACCAAAUAUGUGUGUCAAUACAUCCUUUAUUCAACUACAAUCACCAUGCACUUUAUUUGGAACACCUGUACAUCUGCUCAUUUAUGCAGUUAUUUAAUCAGCCAUUCAUGUGGCAGCAGCACAAUACAAAAAAAAUCAGGUCAAGAGCUUCAGUUAAUGUUCAAACAUCAAACAUCAGAAUGAAGGGAAAAACUCUGAUCUCUGUGAUUUUAACCAUGGUAUGGUUGUUAGUGCCAGAUGAGCUGGUUUGAGUAUUUCUUAAACUGCUGAUCUCCUGGGGUUUUCACGCAAAACACUGUGUACACAGAAUGGUGUGAAAAACAAAAAUACAGAGUGAGUGACACUUUGUUGUUAAGAGAGGUCGGGGAAAAAUGGCCAAAUUGGUUUGAGCUAUCAGGAAGGAUAAAGUAAUUUAUAUAAUCACUCUUUACAACCGUGGUGAGCAGAAAAUCAUCUCAGAAUGCACAAAACAUCAAACUUGAGGUAGAUGAGCUACAACAGCAGAAAACCACAUCGGGUUCCACUCCUAUCAGUCAAGAACAGCAAUCUGAGGCUAUCAUGAGCAGAUUCACCCAAACUGGACAGUUGAAGAUUAGAAAAAAAAUGACCUGGUCUAUUUCUACUCUUGAUUCUGAUAUUUGAUGUGAACAUGUGAUUGGCUGAUUAGAUAACUGUUCCUAAUAAAAUCGACAGUGAGUGCAUACUAGGGGUUCUCAGAAACUCCCUUCAUCUGUAAAAUAAAUUUCAGCACAGAUUUAUUUUAUAAUUCCAAUUAUUCAAAUAUUCAUCUCAUUAUUCAAAUGUGCACAGUCAUAUUCUGGCUAUUUAUUGGAACCCUAGAUUUUUUCUUUUUACAUAUAUUCCUGAACUUUCCACUGACAGAACACAUUAUGUCCAAGUUGACAUUAUUUAUCAUCUGAGUAAUUGAGGUGUGGAUUAAUUCAAUUCAUGUAACCAUUCAAACAGGGUAAUCACUUAAUCACUAUAACAACUCAAUAAGAAAUAUAAUGACUUUUGAUAAUGGUGGAUCCUGUAACAGAAUAAAAAAGCUCCGGCGAGGCUUCACAGACCCCAUUUAGAGACCACAACACAAUACUGAUCAAUACUUAUAUGCAAUAUAAGGGUACUUACUAUGCUUAUACUUAUUAUUGUGCAAUAUGGACAUUUAAAAUCCAGUGGCUAAUACAAAUAAUCUGAUUUUUAAGAUUUCCAGCUGCUAACAAACUUCCACACAGACCAGGGCUUUUAAAAAUCCUUCACCCUUUCCUAUUGAAAUUAUUUUGGAACUCACACAAAGUUUCUUUUUAUGCACCUGUGGACAGAAAAUGUCAAGGAUCUGUCUGAAUCUUGCUAAAAGUGCGGAAACCCCUUAUUUUCAGGCCUCCUGACACUCUGCCCCCUUUGGGCUUGCUAACAGAAUUUACCGUAUUUGCUUCGCUGCCUGGCUUUGUGUUGAAUUAUGCAUAAUUGCACUAGUGUACUUGCACACAUAGCUACGAGCAUGAUUAGCAUAAAAGCUCUCUGUUUUUUGUUUCUUUAUAAAGGACAGUGGGGGUGGGGGGAUUUUCAAGACAUAAAGAAUGGCAAGUGAUUUGUGGUAAAUGUGCGUAAUGUGCGUAAUGUGUGUGUGUGUGUGUGUGUGUGUCUGUUCACAUAAAGAGGCCAUGGGGUGUGUUAGCUAGCUUAUAAGGCUAUAUAUAACAUUGUCCGACCCAAACUAAAAACAUAUGGGCUCCCCAGCUGCUGUAAAUAUGUAAAUAAGGGGAUGAGAGCCAGCCAUUUGACCCAGACGAGUUCUACAUGACUGGAACUAGCCUAGACCAGACAUACACACCCUGCAAAGUCCAAUUUUAAAACCCCAUCACAGCCUCAUAAACCCCCACGGCUUCAAAAAACAAGAGAGUAAGUGAUGUAAAGUAAUCGUUCUGUAACGGAUUAUGUACAGUAAAGAGCUAGAUUACAUUUUGUCAUUUAGCAGACGCUUUUAUCCAAAGAUUAAAAUAUAUUAAUAUAUAAACUUAAAUAUAAACUGAGAAAACAAAUACAAUGCACAUGUGAAUCAUUUCAGCAUACUAAACUCCUGUGGGAGAAUGUUUUCAAAAUAAAGAUGUAUUACAUUUUAUUUUUGUGAGGUGUCCAUUCUUAAUUUUAGUUAUGCAAGUUAGACAAAUAUAUAUAUAUAAAAAAAUUAUCAUAAGCCAGUUUAGUUUGUCUUUAAAACACUGUAGAAAAAGUUGCAAUUGUUUCCCUUUUAAAGCCUUGGGAAUAUUAUUAAAUAAGCUACAUCCUCACAAUAUUUUUUAAAAUAAUGUGACAUUGCGGCUUUUCUAGGUUAAUGUAUUUAUCAUCGCAAUUAAAGGGCAACUUUCUAACAUGUUUAAUUAUGUCAUUAAGACAUUGGCUGAAUUGAAAAUAACAUUACUAAUAAAAGCAUUAGAGGUUUGGUGUGUUCACACUAAAUAAAUCAAUAGAAAAUGAAAGGAAAAGAUAAUCUCAAGUAUAAAUGGUUAAUUUGUGGAAUCCAUGCCAUUCCAUAAUAAAAGAAAAUGUUAUCCAACUGCCAUAAAAAUGAUAUUAUUAAUGAAAAGUCAAACAUCAAUUUCACUGACGAGAAUUCUCAAUCAGGAGAGUGAGACUGCUCGAAAUGUAGGCGUUAAGGCUUAUAAAUGAUCUCUUCUGUACAGCAGUCCUGUGAAAACAGUCUCAGUAUGAAGUUAAUGCAGUAUCAAUGCGGAACCAGAAAGCGGAGGAACCACAAAAUGCAAGGUGAAAGAACAAAUAUUUUUAUAAAACUCCAUGCUUGUUCUUAUUAAAUAUCCUUUACUGUUAUUCCAACAGCAAUUCAAAACCAUUUAUCCUUGACUGAAAUGUUUCCACAAACUCAUAGUACAUAACUGCAACUCAUAAUUGUAGAUGCCAGUUGAUCUGCUUAAACUGCUAGGGAUCAUGUCCCUGAUUGCCCAAUCUGCAGAACAGUAAUACACAUGUAAAGCGCUGUAUUGUAUGGAGGAACACAAUGUUGCCCGGUGAGAGUGUGUGUGUGAAGGGCGAGCAUUGCUGGGUCCCACGAUGCAGCAGCGCACCAAGGCCUAUGGUGGCGACUGCUACGCAUGCUAAUGAGGUCAUUAUGUGGGGCUGUGUGGAGUUGGGCCCUGCGACAGAGGGAUUUGAGUAGCACCGGCUAGUUCGACUAGCCCAGGCACAGAUGUCACAGAUGGUACAGUCGUCAGGUGCUUUGUGACUGGAAAAGCCACGUUUCUCUCAUUUAAAGCAACAGAAUGCUAACGUGGCUUAACAUAAGGACGAAUAAAUUGUAAAAUAGUACAAAAGACAUGAGUGGCAGGUACAUGCUCCAAAGUGCUCAAAAGCUGCUCACAAAGAUUUGUGUGUGUGUGUGUGUGUGUGUGUGUGUGUGUGUGUGUAUGUAUGUGUGUGGCUCAGUACAGUAACAGUUGGGCGAAUAUGCGAAUACAAUUAUAGACGAUUUACAUGCGGGCACUGAUUAAGCAGAUGGCUGGUGUUCAGAGUGGCGCCAUCUUGGGUAAAGGGACAGCUGGCAGAUGGUGGCGGCCAUUUUGUCAGUGGCGCUGCCAAGCUCAGACACUGCCUGGCAUGUGUGUAGAUGCUAUGCUGGCAUUCUUGUGCGUAAUUUACUGUGGGGGUUUGUACCCAGUACACUAACAGCACUUUAUAUAAUAUGCUGAUUAUAGCUAGGUUACAAAUAAAAUUACCCAAACAUGACAAACGCAGAUGUUAAACAAAGGAAAGGACACUGUGCUCAGUGCUUUAUUGCGGUUUUUGUGUGAGUUUGAUGAUUUUGUGAACCCAAGGGGAAGCCUGGCUUUCUCCCACAGCUGCUCCUUGAUGAAAUAUAGCAAUUUAACUAAGCACACAGGCAGUGUAUCUGGAAUUUACACAUCAUUCUGUGCAGAAGAUACUGACUGAAUUGUAACCAAUGAUUAAAACAGAUGAAGAACAGGGGUGCGCUUACCAUUUCAGAGGAUUAGACUCCAUCAUCUCCUGGCAAACUUCAUUCCUUAAAGAAUCCAUGGGGACAUGGCACUACCUUUAGCAACAUACACACUCCAUUCACCUAUGUUCGUUGUGUCUCAUGGAAGGAAAUGGAGCUUUCCUUAUCAGCUCUGGAUCAGGGAAUGACUGAAAACAGUGUGUGACAAACACUGGGAAAGUUUAUUGAGUCAUUUUGGUCCUAGUUUGGAGCUCAGCUCCAACUUUGCACUCCGUCUGAAUGGCAUCUUAUUAAAACCUGGUACUGUGGAGGUCCAGAAGUAUUGAAGUAUGUAGAAAAGAGUGCCAAGCCUCUUCAUGUGGAUUAAAACCAAAGCCUUUUUAGAAGCUCUCAAACAGUGGCGAGGAUUUUGAAAAAAUCAUCUAAUUUAAUCUACAACAGAAAAGGCGAAAAAAUGUCGUCCAAAAAAGACAAAAGUUCAAGUUGUCCUCUCUUGCCAGCUCAUCUGAUGUAGAGGCUUGGAGGAGGGCCUGAAAGAGGGAUUGUACGUCAAGCCCUCAUUCAAACAGUCGAUGGGAAUGUGCACUCACAGUAAAAAAGGAAUCGAGGAGAGGGAAAAAGACCUUUGACACUCUUUUUCUGUUCAUUCUCCCGCAGACAAAGUUUUAUCAAGUGGUGUUGGGACUGAAGGUCCCUCCAGCAGAACCACACACACACAUACACACUCUUGCUCUCACACAUGGUCCGCCUUUGGCUGAUGCAAGUUGACUGGUAAAGGGAGAGAUGAGCGCUUGUGAUCCCUUGGCACCAUGGCCCGGGGCUGCGUCGCCCGACCCCUGGCAGCCUCUUCCCUCCGUAUUGAUUGCUCUGCUGAGGAGCCUGUGCCCGGUGGGUGCAACUGCCCGCCUCUGCUGCCCACUCCGUUGAAGCCUGGCCGGCCCCUGCUGUCUCCCCGAGACCCCGAGACACAGAGCCGGAGCCUCAUGAGGAGAGGAAGAAGAGAGGGAGGAGAGGAAGAAGAGAGCCGGCGGCGGUCCACAGCUGUGUUCACCUGCUCUCAGUUCAGUCCUCCAUCAUCCCAUAUUCCUACUCCCACUCUCGGCUCGUUCUCUGCCUCCUGCCAGCAAACAACAACAGAUAGGGGGGAACAAAAAAAAAAAAAACAAGUUCAGCUUAACUUUCAAUCUGAGUGUCAAUCCGUGACUUUGAUCAGAAAGAUGUGUAAGGUGGAUGUUUUGGCAUCUUCUCACAGUUUGUAAGGUGAACUUUCUGACCUCAGAUUUUUAACAUGCUGAAGUUGAAGAUUUUUUGAGUUUAGGAUGUCAGACUGAAAGAAACAGCCUGCCAAGUGCACUUACUGCCACUACCUCUGAUGUUUCUUUGCUUGCAGUAAAAAGAGUUUUGGCCAAAAAUAUUGUGUGUUGUAAAUAGAAUAUAAAAAGACUAUAUUUCUGAAACAAAUUCCUUCUUCUUUUAGGCUGUGCGCAAAAUUAUUUCAAUUAUUUCAGAGGCCUGCUAUCAUGCAAAUGAUUGAGAGGGAUAGUUUGAUAGACUUCAGGGUCAAUUAUGUGCUUAAAAGCAUUCCUCCCUCUCCUAGCAUAAAAAAAACCCCAGAAACUGGUAAAUUAAAAAUAAAAAAAGAUGAAAAAAAGAAGUAAAUAAUUUUGAUAAGUUGUAGCAAGUGGUUCGGUGUUGGGGGAAAAGGGGGCAGCGCAGCUCAGAUGGGCAUGGGGUGGAACUGGGGUUGUGUCUCAGACACAAUAAUACUAUUCAUUGGGCUCAGACGUGGGUGUUAACUCCCCUCUGGCUGCGCACAAUGGUGCUCGGCGGCAUUGAGACAGCCCCAGUGAUACUGUUAGUUCAGGGCUGCGGUCGGCCGGCUGCGUGAGAAAGAGCCAGCAUUGUGUCCAUGCGGCAGAAUGGAUGGAGGGAGGCUUGAGAGGUGAAAGGCAAAGAAAGAGAGAAGGCGGGGUGGGGGGUUGGGGGCAACACAGAGGGGGUUGGAGGGAAAUGAGGGUAGGAGGGUUUGCCCCAUGGCACUGGACUUGGGGGGAAAAAUGAAAAGAAAAGAGAGGCUGGAGAGAUAAAGAUUGAGCUAUAAAUAUUAUUGAAGCAGCCCAGCAUGGAGCUAAAGAGGCAUGGAGGCAGGGGGCAAAAAAGGAAACCAAAAAUCCAAAAUGUAGGUGGUAAAGCUUGCAUUUGAGCAGGCUAUUUAAAUACAUAUCAAAUAUUUCCAUAGUUAGUAUGUAUAAAAGGCAGUAGAACUGCAUGCAAUACAUUGAUCAUACAAGCAGGCAAGGAAAGAAAGAAAACAGGGAAUGAAAGCAUGGUUGAAAUCAGGCAAAUAAGGUCUGACUACCACAAGAUUCAUGUCACUUCGCUCCAUUUCCCUGUCCUUGAGUCUUGGGAUGGAGUUUGGAAUGAGAAAGAAAACUGAAGUGAAGGGGAAAGAAAAUGCAGGAUAGAACUGAUGGGGACAUGAAUGCUAACACACAAUACCAAGCAGAUUCAUGCUUUCUCUUCACAAAAGCAGAGCUAAUAAUUAUAGUUUGGCAUGGGGGGGGGGGGGGGGGGUCCUUCCUGCAGCCUCUGGGCACAAGGACCAUCAGACAGAGUUAGAAUAUAUUAAAAAUGUGAGCUUUCACUCAUGGGCUAAAGGUUUCAGAGAGGAUACAUAGAACAAUACACAGUAUGCAGAUAAUUUAAUUACCACUGCAUAAAGACUGCCAUGGUUAUUCGUCAACUUCUGAACAAAUGUCCUCGCAAAGUGGACUAUCCAAGUAACACUGCGAGCUUUACAACAGUAUUAUUAAAGCAUGUGAUUUUACUGAUCUUACAAAAUCUUGCAAAGUCUUUCACUGAUUGAACAGUUAUGUGGUAUACACUCAACUAAGAAAAGACAGGUUCAUUUAAUAUUCUCUAUAGCGACAAGUUGGAAGCACACACACACACACACACACACACACACACACACACACACACACACAUAUGCACACACACACCAAUUCAACCUGCUUUUUAUGAGGUUUUUAUGAGCACUACUUUGUUUCCUUUCUGGUUAACACUCAGCAUCUGUUCCCAUGGCAACGCAACCUUCUUUUCUGCUUCUGAUUGACAUGAAGCUGAAGCCACACCCCUGGUUUCAGCACAACCCACAGCACUUCUUCACCCUCAUGUUACACAGCUCAUUCUGCAUAUUAACACUCAUUAUUACUGCGGUUAUAUAUUAUCCAGCGACUGUGUGAGACUUUACUGUCUCAAUCGUAAGACUAGGAUUCAAUAUAAAGACCUUAAAUAUAAGCUUAAAAUCUCAGCUGGAAUCACAGAAACGAGAAGUGUGAACGUUCAACCCUAUCAAACCAAAAGCCCUACAGCAGGUGUGCAGCAGCGAAGCCCAGCUGUGGUCAUCGCUACUAAUAGGCCGUGUUAUUGGGACAAGAUGUUUGAUGUAGAUGCUGGAGAUCAGAGCAGGGCAGGCGGUGGCUCAUUCUCGCCGAACUUGCCGCUGGAGCCCACCAGGGAGCUGUUCGGCUCUCCGCAUCUCCUCAGCGCUGCCAUUUCAUCUCCGUGGACCCUCUCGCCUCUCCCAGGCCCACAUGAAUAAGUAACGAGGUGCACAGACUCAGCCUGGAGCUUUGAAGCCGUGAGUGGAGCUGGAUGAAGCAGGACUCGAUGAUCCGGGAGCUCUCUGGUCAGGGGGGGAUAAUGUAUCUCAGUGGCCUGUGGGCUGUUCCAUUGUCCCAGUGGAGGGGAUUACACCGGGGCGAAAGGGACCUGACAAUGUGACACUCCUGUGAGGGAGGGCUAGCAAGCUUCCCUGCCAAUGAGGGGGGCGGUUAACUUCUCACCAACUCAAUUAGCUAAGUUGGGAAGGAGUAAAGAGCCCUAAGCAGGAGAAAGGAGAAAUGGGUAAUAUGGGUAAGGAGGACUGAGUGAGAUGGGGAGAGAGAGAGAGAGAGAGAGAGAGAGAGAGAGGAGAGAGUAACAGACUUAAGGGUUUAACAUGGGAUUAGAGGAGGGAUGUGAUGAUGAAAGAAUGAGAAAGAAAGCAGGCCUAAAUAGACAAGAUGGACAGGAAAAUAUGUGAAAGCAAGAGUAGACAGACUAAAGACAUACAGUUCAGGACUGGCCUCAUGAACUUAAAUGGUUUUGACUACAUGUGUAUGCACAAUAUUACAAACCUAGAUGUUUAUUCAAUAAUGGGAGCUAAUACUUUACCAAACAAGACAAAGAAAUAUACCAAAGUGGACGGCACAGGAAGUCAUAUUGACUUACAAAGUGUUUCACUGCCUACACAAGCUUAGAAUCUGCAUGUCCUUUCAGGGAGAAUGCAGACCAAUAUUUAAAAGUCAGACAUUCAUAUACAUAAUACAGGUAGUGAUUUAUCAACAUUAAGUCUAUGACAUCAAGUUUUGGAAGACUUUACAAUAAACACAAAUUUUAGAAUCCUUUGCAGAAACCAUGGUGUGUAAAAGUAGCUACUUGUUUUGUUAUAUAGUACAGAGGUGGAUGAAUACAACAUGUUUGCAUUAUGGAUGUGACAUGUCUGAAACAGACCACACGGCUGUGUAUAGAAAAGGGAAUUUAAAAUUAAGAAUAAACUAUUAACUACUAAUAACAAAAGAAAUCUGUAACAGUUCAUGAAGGUAUAGGUUGGGGUUAGAGGUGGGUUAGCGUCUGUACUGUAUCUUAGGACUUUCAAUCAUAUUAAAUCAAAUGAAAUCCAACCACUUCACCAUCACUCAUUCAAACUUGUACAAAUGCUUUGUGAGAUCAGGUUCCUCCAACCUUGAAAGUGAAAACUGAAGCAGUGCAGUGUGGCUGGGUGAAACAUGACGUUUUAUUUGCGUGUGGCUCUCAAGUUUAAUGGUUAUAUGCUCGUUCAAUCAGAGUGGUUAAAUGCAGACAUUUAAACAAAACAAACUAAAUAAAAAUGAGGAGCAGGUCUCUUAGUGAAGACAGAAAUAAAGGCAUGCAGUCUAAGAACCCCAGUUAGGGCUGCACAACAUGGAUAAAAAUAUCAUAUUGAGUUUAUAUGGCUACACACUGCAAUUGCAUUGUCGUUCUGUGAACUAAUAAUGUGUCACAAUUAAAGAAUGUCUUGCAUUUGUUUGAUGAUAUUUUUGCUCAUAGAAAAUAGCAAUUACAUGCUAUUUAGGAGUGAGCAGAAUGUAAGUGAUAAUGCACGAUGGGUGUGCUGUUUUAGGAAAAUAAUCCAUGUCAUGGUAGGUGUGACAUGGCCCAAUGUAAAGUGGAGGAUUAUUUUCCUACAAAAGCAUGGUCCGAGCUGUGUUAUUCCUUGUACACCACAGUGAUUUGAUGAUCAUUUUUAAUUUAUUAAUGAUUGACAUUUUUAUGUUAUGUUCUUCAACCAACUCUCGUUUCACUCUCUUGAAGUUGAUACGACCAAAAAAAAAAAAAAAGUCAUGUUGUCAUGUUACUGAGAAACCAGAAAGCGCAAAGUCCUCUUCCAUACACGUGCCUGUGACCGAGCAGUUAUUAUAGAAAUGAUAAUGUGUUAGAACGAGUGCACUAAUAUAAACCAUUUACGUUACAGCCAGAACUAGUGUCAAAGCUGCUGUUAUAGAAAAUCAAUCCACAGCUUCUGAUUCAAAAAUUCAACUUUGCUGUGGUAUAAUACAAUAUAAUAUUGAUGUCAUGAUUAUUUAUGUCAUGUAAACUUUUCAGAGAUAUGCUAGGUAGCUUUAGUAUAUUUCAGAAAAUGUGACUGGAUGCAUCAGAUUAUAUAUUGAAAUUUUACCCUCAAUCUUUAAAAUUGUAAAAUGUUAUAAUUUUAUACUGAAUGUAUUAUUUUCUCUCCUUUUGAGUCUGAAAUAUUUUUGUAGCAUAAGGUUUUUCGAGCAAAACUAUUUUUUGCAUAUUUCUUAGCAAGCUUAUAUGUCAUGAUACAUUGCAUAUAUUUAAGAAAUCUUCGUGUCAUGACAUAGUCCACCCCCAAUACUCUAUUUUGUGCAGUUAUUUUAAUGUAGCACAUACUGUAGCUCUUUAAUAGGACAGUCUUUGUAGGAACGCAUACACAGGCAGUGGUGUGGACAACUUAUUACAGGCCUCAGUGGGACUUCCCUACUCCCACCUCCCUCAGUGCUCAGCUUCCCAACACGCACUGCUCUCGUAUUGAUUCUGCGAGUGAGCGCGAGCUCUGCUACCAUCUCCACCACGCUGCCCACUACUCGCGUCCUCUCCGACCCCAUCAUCGCACUCAUCAAGGUUAAAGAACUCUCCAGAAAAAGAGAGGAGAAUGUUAUCUGACUUCAUGAAAGUGACUGCCUGAGGGCCCUACUGGGAGAGAGGCAUCCUCGAUGCGCCAUCUCGCUCCGACCACCAGCGCCCUCCCACUCAAACCCACAAAAAAAAAAAAAAAAAACAGAUCAGCGUUGAGGAAGUAUAACAUUUUGCUUAGGGUAGAGACCCCUUGCAGCUACAUGAACAGGAGCUCUGUAAUUACUUAACAUGGACUCUGUACAUCAGCAUCUCGACCUUGGAAUUUACAUUUUCAGUUUCGAUUCAAAGUGGAGCUGAGGGUUGAGGUUGCGCUUCAUGUUUAUGGUUAUCUUGCAAUGGUUAAG